GCUAGGCGUGGUGGCUCAUGCCUGUAAUCCCAGCACUUUGGGAGGCCGAGGUGGGUGGAUCACCUGAGGUCAGGAGUUGGAGACCAGCCUGGUCAACAUGGUGAUACCCCAUCUCUA
This is an unclassified non-coding RNA of Callithrix jacchus (white-tufted-ear marmoset), 117 nucleotides long. It matches the Rfam family "Metazoan signal recognition particle RNA". From Rfam's summary of the family: The signal recognition particle (SRP) is a universally conserved ribonucleoprotein. Lineage: Eukaryota; Metazoa; Chordata; Mammalia; Primates; Cebidae. The record is from Ensembl.